UUGGUAUUCAAAAUAAGCCUCUGACCUUUUUUUCAUCAGCUGGGUUUUAUACAUUAAAAAGUAAGUGCUUACGUGCAAAUACUCUUAGAACAGUAAUAGGAAGGGAGUACAGAUAAGACAUAGGGAUGAACGUCAUGUACACAUAACAAAUAAGUUCCAAGGUAAGAAAGAGCAAAAAGAUUAGAGAAGAGACAUCUUAGGUGGGGGCUCUCUGCUCCCGGAACUAGACAUAUAUGGUCUUAAGUGUUGUUUAGGCAUCAAGCAUUUCCUGAGUCCAAGUUAGCCAAUUUUAAUAUAGGAUAUCAUUAUAUGACACCUAUAAGCUUGAUCCAAGGGUCACCCAAAUAUCCAAGGUAUUUCCAGGCCUGCUAGCCAAAGCCUGUGGGACUUUCAUUUAUUGCUUCACCACGGUUCCCUUGGACUGAGAGACCACCAGAAGCAGCAGAGGAGAGUUCCUUCAUUUGUUAGACGAGGUAACAUCAUAAAACCUUUCCGAAGUCGGAGCUGGAAUGUAAGUUAAGGUACGACCAACAGUAGGUUUGCUUUUACAUAGAGAGGUUAGUAGACAUGAAAAAAAUCUAAAGGUUAGAAAAAUGGCCAUAAUGACAAAUACAGCUAAUAGCAAAAGGUAUAAAAUUUGCUUAAUUAGUAAAUUCAACCAUGUUCCUAGCCCAAAUGUCCAAUCCCAAUCUCCAAAGAAGCCGUUAUCCUGUUUGAUAUCCUGUACUAAGACAUGUAAAUCUUUUAUAUGUUUAUGGAUCAUAGUGCCAUGGUCAGAUAGGUUAAAAUAGCACAUACCUUCAAUAGCUUAACAGCCUAAGUCAUGUUUCAUUAGUAAGUAGUAAAUGGCUGCUCUUUUCUCUAGGAUUGCCUUCUUAUUUGCCUGGUUGUCCAUAAGUAGCUCUUCUAGGGCCUUUGAAGUGGCACUUAAACCUUUUCCAAGGGAACAGGCUACAGCAUUAACUACUCGGGUAUUAUACAGUGCUAAGCCUGGGACUCCUACCAAGGUGUACGCUAGGGCAGAGUAUUCGGCUUUAGAUAAGAGAGUGAUUUCAGGGUUACAAUCUGCAUUAAGGGUGUUUUUAACAUCUCUCCUGUCUCUCAGCAGUUUGUGUAGCUGGGUGGUUUUAGUGAUCAGGUCAGAUUUGGAAAACAUGGUCAUGGUUAGGCGAGAGAUUGCACAGGGACCUCCUGUAAUGUUACCUGGGACAUAGGCAUAAGUAAUAUUUCCACAGGAGAAAGUCCAUCCUUUAGGAAGAUAGACAUUGUAGUGGUAACUCAUAACUUGGUGAGUUUUGGUACAAUUCAUAGUGGUGCUCAGGGCUCUACAAUUCGUGGUAUUUUUCCACCAUGUGGGGCAAAACAGGGAUUCAGUAUUAGGGUCUCUUGAACAAUUACAUGAAAAAGACCAACAUAGUUCAGCGCCUGUCACAUUAAUUGUCUUCAGGGCUGGGGAGGCUUGCCUACCAGUGGGUUGAAGGCAUAAGAAUAUAGUUGUAGAGAUUUAUGGGGUCUAUGGGUAUGUAGGUACUUCCUCAACAGUGGGAUGGGGGUAGGAACAGCUAUAAGACAAGAUUCUAUGGCGUUUUCAGUACUGAGGAGAGGGUUGAGGCAAAAAGGAGGUUAAAUUAAAAGCCUUUGCUAUCUGCAACCAUAUAUUUUCCUGCCAUGCAUUAUUAUUUUCUGGUCUCAAGUCAGAGUAGCAUAUCCGAACACAGCAUAAAAAUGGUAAAGGAUAAGAACAGCUUUGUGUCGGUGGAUCAGUCGGAGUGACUUGUUUACAGUGACUGGCGUGUAUCCACGUGGUAUUUCCUUCUAGUUUCACUGAGGUAGCCGUAGUCAAGAGCACUUGGAAUGGACCGUCAAAGCGUGGUUCAAGUCCUUUCCUCACAUGCGUCUUUAUCACCACCCAAUCACCAUUCUGCAGUUUGUGAGUUGCAGAUUCAGAGUCUGGAUCUGGAAUAGAAUCAAAGACUUGUUUAUGCACCCUGCCUAAUCAUUGGUGUAGGGCCUGAACAUAGGCAGUCAUACUACCAUGUUGCAUCUGGAGGGUUUGGGGAAAAUAGAGGCCUGUCUUUGGGGCACAUCCAAACAGGAUCUCAAAAGGGGAUAGGCCAUGUCUGGAAUUGGGGGUGAAUCUCAUAGAAAAGAGUGCUAGGGGAAGGCAUUCAGUCCAGGGCUUUCCUGUGUCUUGCAUGGCUUUUGCAAUCUUGUUCUUUAAGGUGCCAUUUGCCCUUUCUACUUUUCCACUACUCUGGGGGUGAUAGGGGUGUGGACUGAUCCCUAAGGCUUUCAUAAUUUCUUGCAUUAUUUCCCCAGUGAAAUGGCUACCUCUGUCACUUUCAAUCACUUCAGGUACUCCAUAUCUACAUACCAGUUCCUUCAGAAGCUUACUUGCUGUGACCUUCGUUGUGGCUUUCGACACUGGGUAGGCCUCAGGCCAACCUGAAAAGAGAUCAAUGCACACCAACACAUAUUCAUACACUCCUACCUUAGGUAGUUGAAUAUAGUCUAUCUGCAGUCUUUGAAAUGGGUAAAGUGGCCUUGGUGUGUGCUUACUUGGUGUUUUGACAGCCUGUCCUGGAUUGUUUCUAGCACAAAUCAUGCAAGCUUGGGUGUGUUUAGCUGCUACAACAGUAAAUCCGGGUGCUAUCCAAUGGGUGUUUACUAUGCUGUUCAUGUGCAUCUUGGAUAGAUGUGUAGGUCAAUGGGCAAUCUGGGCCAUCAUGGGGUACAACACUCGUGGCAAACACAGUCUUUUACCUUUCCUCCACAUUCUGUCAUCAUCAGGUUCUGCAUCUUGUUUCCUCCAGAGGUCAUGUUCUUCCUUGCUUGCCUGUCUUUGUAAGCUCAACAGUAUAUUGUAGUCAAUGGCAUCAUCUGUAAGAACAACUUGUAGGAAGGUAUUACCUGUUGAACUUGAAUUGCUGCUUGCUUGGCAGCUUUGUCUGCUUUGUGGUUUCCUCUUGAGAUUUCAUCUGUGAUCUUCACGUGAGCUGCCACCUUGAUGAUGCCUACUUGAGUGGGUAGCAGGAUAGCGUCCAUAAGUGCACUCACAGCUUCAGAAUUCUUGAUUGGAGUUCCUGCUGAGGUGAGAAAAUCACGAGCCCGCCAUAUAGGGCCAAAAUCAUGGGCUAUACCAAAAGCAUAGCGAGAGUCUGUAUAAAUAUUAGCAGUCUUACCAGAAGCCAUUUUACACGCUUCAGCGAGUGCCUUCAGCUCUGCCUCCUGUGCAGAGCAGUGAGGAGCGAGUGGUUCAGCUUUUAUUACCUCAUGUGCAGAGACUACAGCAUAUCCAGUGUGGAAAUUACCCUUCUCAUCAGCAUAUCUGGAACCAUCUACAAAAAACUUAAAAUCUGCAUUAGAUAAUGGAGAAUCAAUUACAUGCAAAAAACCUGCUGUUUCUUGUGCCAUUUAGUGCUGCACAAUCAUGGGGUACCUGGGCAUCAGCUAACUCAUCUGGUGAAAGUGAAUUUACAAAAAGAUCAGAAUUACAAGUACCAUUCCCACUAUCUCCACUCCCCACUUUUAAAUCCAGGGGAAGAAAUGUAGAUGGAUUUAACACCAUACACCUUUUAAGAGUAACAUUAGGUGGCAUAAGCAAGGCACAUUGUAUUUUGAGAUGCCUUGCAGUAUGUAUGUGUUUUGGUUGAUGCUGUUGAUAUCAUGCGGUGUGUAUAUGGUUACUGGGUUAUCUAAGACAAUAUCAGUAUAUCAGUGGCUUUGUCCAGGAUGGCAGUAACAGCCGCCACUGCCCUAACACAUGAGGGGACACCCCUGGCAACAGGGUCCAAUCUGGUGGAGUAGUAUGCUAUUGGUCUUUGUUUACCACCAUGGUCCUGUGUAAGGACAGAUGUAGCAUAGCCUGAUUGCUCAGUACAGAACAGGUUAAAAUUCUUUCUGUAAUCUGGGAGACCCAGUGCCGGAGCUGACGUUACCAGUAACUUAAGGGUAUAGAAGGCAUUUUCUGCCGCAUGGGUUAAUUUAAACGGUUUGUUUUCGUUGGCAAGACAAUCAUACAGUGGUUGCAUGUAGAUUGCUACGGAACGCAGCCAAGGACGGCAGUAAGAUAUCAAACCGAAAAAAUGUGCGGAGCUGGGCUAGGCUGCUGGGGGGGUUUAAUAUUUUGAAUUGCAGUCUUAUGCCCUGGGAAAUGCCAUGUCCUAGGAAAAUAACUUUCUCUACACAAGCUUGCAGUUUCGUUUUUGUCGCUUUACAGCCUGCUUCUGCCAAGAAUUUUAGCAAGGAAAGAGUGUUUACAAUACAAGAUUCCAGAUUAUCGCAACAUAGGAGUAGGUCAUCAAUAUACUGCAAUAAAAUCACGUUAUUUGGCCUUUGCCACUCUUCAAGAAUCUGGGCCAUAGCCAUGCUGUACAUAGUGGGUGAGUUUUGUGCGCCCUCUGGCAAUACUGUCCAAGUGUACUGCUUGUGUUUAUGUGUAAAUGCAAAUAAAAACUGACUGUCGGGAUCCAGGGGAACACUGAAAAAUGCAUUUGCCAAGUCAAUAACAGUAAAUACCUUAGAGGAGGGUGGUAUUUGUGCCAACAAGGUGUGUGGGUUGGGAACAUUACGGGCAAUCAGUUCAGUUACAGCAUUAAUUGCCCUCAAAUCAUGUACCAUACGGUAGACCACAGGUUUCCCUUUCUCUUGCUUUUUCUUAAUUGGGUACAAUGGUGUGUUACAAGGGGAGGUGGUCUGGACAACUACCCCUGCCUGCAGAAACUCCUGCACAGAUUGCGAAAUAGCAUCUUACUGUGCUGGGCUUAGGGGGUAUUGUUUUUGACAGGGAGGUUUGGCUCCGGGCAGGAGAUUCACUUUGACUGGGGGCACAGAGAGUCUGCCUGUAUCAGUCUUCCCUGUAGCCCAUAAGGAAUCAGGUACUGAGGACAAGUCAAUGGUAGGUUCUGGCACAAGGCUGGGCAUAGUGAGAGUUGCCAGAACAUUUGAAAGAGAUAUCAUUUGUUUGUCCUCCAAAGGCACAGACAAUGUUACUUUUGCAGUGGGGCUAUACUGGAUAUUUGCACUAAGAGCAGACCGUAUAUCACUGCCUAGUAGAUUAGCAGGGGCAUGAGGGCUGACAAGUACCCUUGUUACAAGGGCAGUAGAGUCGUGUAGCUUCAAUUUCAGCUUGUGUGUAAGGGGAAUGUCAUUUUCGAUACCAUCCACCCCUACACAUGAUAAUACAUCAUUAGAUUUCUCAUUCGGGAACACAUAUUUUUCCUGUAACAUUGAUUUAGCAGCGCCAGUGCCCAACAGGAAAGGGACUAUUCGGUCCCCGGGCAGUGUAACAUUGAUAAUGGGUGAGGGUCCUGCAGAGUCAGGGAUAUUUAUAAUAUGUAGGGACACUGGUUUGCCAAUUUCCUAUUGGGGGGGGGGGAGGUGGUGGAGGUGGUUGGUUGUCAUGGGAGUUAUCAUUAGAAUCCUGGGGUUUUCUAUUUUUAGGAGGACACUUGCAGUUACGUUUAAUGUGUCCUUUCCUGCCACAAUUCCAGCAGUCUACCUGCCUUCUAUCUCCACCAGCUCUAGGGACAGUUACAGCCAUUAGAGGUGUGCUCCUCCUUCUAGUAUUUAGAUUAGCUUCCACUCCCCUAGCCAACUUCACCAGAUCACCAUAGGUUAAACUUCUCCACUCAAGUCUGGUCCAAGUGGUUACAACAUCAGUGUAACCUAAUGCCUCCCAAGCCAUCUGUAGUUUGGUGAAGAAUGUGUCUACAGAUUCAUCUUUCCCUUGUAGUAUAUCUCCUAAUUUAUGGGCUAGUUCCUCUGUCUUUACCUUAGCCCAUUCUCUCAUUGCAGUGACAUGGCAUGCUCCAGAUGCAGACUUGGUUCUAAACCAUUCAUCUGUUUGCAUGUUGCUUUUUCUGAGGUUAUCUUCAUGGGCAUCUGUAUAUUUAGCAAUUAUUCUAGCCCAAAUGGGGCCAGCUUUUAGUGCCAUAAUCUGUUUUAAAUCCAUCCAAGUACACUGGUAAGUAGCUUGAAUUGUGGAUAGAGACUGGACUAGAGCCAAGGGGGCCUUUUCAACAUCUGCCAGCUGCUGUAUUAUUGCCAGUUGUUCACUGGGUGUCCAGGGCUUAUAUUCUUCCCAGUAUUGGAUACCUGCGCUCGGCUGUCUGUUCUCAUGGUAUACGCUCUCAACUUUGGGUAUCAUGGGAGUAGACAAUUGUGGAGCUAAUGGCCCCACUGGGGUGUCUAUGGGGGCAACUAGGGGUUCCUUUAAGUCUGGACUACCUUCCUCCUCUAAUGAACCCAUAGGUCUUACUGGGACACAAUAUGAAGUCCCACUGCGUAAUAUUACUGGAAACAGGGGUUUUGAUCUCCGUAAAAGGGAAAUCGCCUGACCUUUAGGGACCAAAGGAGUCCCUGCAGAAACCUGAUAAAGGGGUGGGUUUACAAGAUUUUUCCCAGGAUCUUGCCUACUCUGGGACCCUAGAGGUCCAAAACAUUGAUAAUGUGGUACACCUUUCUUGGUGGUUUCUCUACAACCACA
Pelobates cultripes (western spadefoot toad) is the source of this 6487-nucleotide non-coding RNA. NCBI's taxonomy places the organism in Eukaryota, Metazoa, Chordata, Amphibia, Anura, Pelobatidae. The record is from the annotation of a GenBank genome assembly.